RNAcentral lists this long non-coding RNA (445 nucleotides) under Ricinus communis (castor bean). Its description in RNAcentral is "long non-coding RNA (RCOM_LNC002689)". Lineage: Eukaryota; Viridiplantae; Streptophyta; Magnoliopsida; Malpighiales; Euphorbiaceae. The record is from RNAcentral.
GAUAUGACACGCUUUGUUAUUUUGUGAUAUUUUGUACUAUUAAAUAGUUAUUUUAUAUUUAUGGUUACUUUAGUUUAGGAUAUAUGGUUUUAAUUCACUCCCGAGGCUGAUAGUCUCAAUUUUAAUUUUUCAGGUGACAACUCGGUUCUCCGCCGACUUUCUCUUGGCAGCCCGAUUUCUUUCCCUUCAGACUUAUUGUAAUUAAAUUCUACCUUUUGUAUUUCGAAUUAUUUGAAAUUUUUGACUCUCCGCAUUAGUGGACCUGAAAUUUUACAUCUUAUUUUGGUUGGUUAAAAAUUAUAGAAAAAUUAUUAAGUACGCAUGCUAAUGGAUUAAUUUAACUGCAUUGUGAUUAUGUGAAUGAAUUGUUGAUUAUUUAGAUAGUGUAUAUACAUGUAUGCGUCUGUCUGGAUUAUUGGCUUGUUACGGGUUUCAGUGGCCUUAU